GAUGAACGCUAGCGAUAGGCCUAACACAUGCAAGUCGAGGGGCAUCACAUGAAGUAGCAAUACGGAUGGUGGCGACCGGCGCACGGGUGAGUAACACGUAUGCAACCUGCCUUCAACAAGGGGAUAACCCGUUGAAAGACGGACUAAUACCCUAUAACACAGGGGUCCCGCAUGGGAAUAUUUGUUAAAGGACAACCGGUUGAAGAUGGGCAUGCGUUCCAUUAGCUAGUUGGCGGGGUAACGGCCCACCAAGGCAACGAUGGAUAGGGGAACUGAGAGGUUUAUCCCCCACACUGGUACUGAGACACGGACCAGACUCCUACGGGAGGCAGCAGUGAGGAAUAUUGGUCAAUGGACGCAAGUCUGAACCAGCCACGUCGCGUGAAGGAAGACGGCCCUACGGGUUGUAAACUUCUUUUAUACGGGGAAUAAAGUGCCCCACGCGUGGGGUUUUGCAUGUACCGUAUGAAUAAGGAUCGGCUA
This 483-nucleotide ribosomal RNA is filed under the name uncultured bacterium. RNAcentral describes it as "bacterial SSU rRNA". It matches the Rfam family "Bacterial small subunit ribosomal RNA", at positions 28 to 499 of the family's 1533-position model. The record is from RNAcentral.